AGAGCAAGCUGUCGGCGAUGGGCAUCAAGCCGGGCGCGGCCGCGAAGAAGCACGUGCGGGUGGACGCGGAGGGCACCUCGUGGGAGGACAAGAGCCUCAGCGAGUGGCCCGAGGGCGACACCCGGCUCUUCGUCGGAAACCUCGGCAACGAGGUCACGGACGACCUCAUGUCGCGGGCCUUCGCCCGGUACCCGAGC
RNAcentral lists this non-coding RNA (197 nucleotides) under Pseudopedinella elastica. Lineage: Eukaryota; Dictyochophyceae; Pedinellales. The record is from RNAcentral.